GGCUCAGAACGAACGUUAGCGGCGCGCCUAACACAUGCAAGUCGAGCGAGAAAGGGCUUCGGCCCCGGUACAGCGGCGCACGGGUGAGUAACACGUAGGUAAUCUACCCCCGAAUGGUGGAUAACCCUCCGAAAGGAGGGCUAAUACAGCAUAAGACCACGGCUUCUUCGGAGGCUGAGGCCAAAGCGGGCCUCUUUACAAAAGCUCGCGUUUGGGGAUGAGCCUGCGGCCCAUCAGCUAGUUGGCGGUGUAAUGGACCACCAAGGCUAAGACGGGUAGCUGGUCUGAGAGGAUGAACAGCCACACUGGAACUGAGACACGGUCCAGACUCCUACGGGAGGCAGCAGUGGGGAAUCUUGCGCAAUGGGCGAAAGCCUGACGCAGCGACGCCGCGUGAGUGAUGAAGGCCUUCGGGUUGUAAAGCUCUGUGGGGAGAGACGAAUAAGGUCCACCUAACACGUGGACCGAUGACGGUAUCUCCUUAGCAAGUACCGGCUAACUCUGUGCCAGCAGCCGCGGUAAGACAGAGGGUGCAAACGUUGUUCGGAAUUACUGGGCGUAAAGCGCGUGUAGGCGGCAGGGCGUGUCGGAUGUGAAAUCCCGUGGCUCAACCACGGAAGUGCACCCGAAACUGCCCAGCUUGAGUCUCGGAGAGGAAGGCGGAAUGCUUGGUGUAGAGGUGAAAUUCGUAGAUAUCAAGCGGAACACCGGUGGCGAAGGCGGCCUUCUGGACGAUGACUGACGCUGAGACGCGAAAGCGUGGGGAGCAAACAGGAUUAGAUACCCUGGUAGUCCACGCCGUAAACGAUGAGUGCUAGGUGUCACGGGCUUUGACCCCUGUGGUGCCGUAGCUAACGCAGUAAGUACUCCGCCUGGGGAGUACGGCCGCAAGGCUAA
Molecule: ribosomal RNA, 897 nt
Filed under: uncultured bacterium
Lineage: Bacteria
Description: bacterial SSU rRNA
Rfam family: Bacterial small subunit ribosomal RNA
Source: RNAcentral